ACAAUCUACCUUGAAUAUUUUUUAACAAUGUUGAUAAAUAAAAAUAAUAUUGUGAAUGAAGUCUAAAAAUAUCAGACCGACAAGUAGUUCUAAGAAUACCGUUAAACAUAGGAUUAUAAAUUGCUUGUAUAUAAUGAAUAAAUGCAUCAGAAGAAGGAAAACUAAAAGGCAAACAACUCACAGCUACCAUUUUAGCUAUUUCUUCCCGGUCCCUCAAUUUAUUAUACUUCUUCACUACGUGACCGGUUGCUGGGUCCAUUCUAGUUUGCGUUGGGCCACCAACAUCCCCA
RNAcentral lists this long non-coding RNA (290 nucleotides) under Capsicum annuum. RNAcentral's name for it is "long non-coding RNA (CANN_LNC003290)". Lineage: Eukaryota; Viridiplantae; Streptophyta; Magnoliopsida; Solanales; Solanaceae. The record is from RNAcentral.